Molecule: long non-coding RNA, 298 nt
Filed under: Panax ginseng (ginseng)
Lineage: Eukaryota; Viridiplantae; Streptophyta; Magnoliopsida; Apiales; Araliaceae
Description: long non-coding RNA (PGIN_LNC011491)
Source: RNAcentral
UUUAGAAAGGGCAAAACUUUUCUGGGUCCGCUAUUUUUUCACUUGUCAAUUCAGUGUAAAUGCAGAUUUGAACACCCAUUUGCUUCAUUUAUUAUGGGUUUGUUGUACCUGAAUGUUCUGAGGCUCUGAGCUUUGUUGCAGAAUGUACAACAAAUUUUGAUGGUCAAAUGUUAAUACAAAUCUGUAGUACCAUGUACAAAGCUUCAAUCUUUGCAAGAGAGAGGCUCUAUUUGUUCUAAGGCUUGAAUCAGGGACCCAUUGUAGGAGGCACAUUGUUCACAUAGCUGGGUUUGGUAAG